CAAUAGCGUAUAUUAAAGUUGUUGCGGUUAAAAAGACUCGUAGUUGGAUUUCUGUCUGAGGCGGCCGGUCCGCUUUCUGAGUGAGCAUCUGGUCCGCUUUGGGCAUCCUCCUGGGGAACGUUUCCGCGCUUGAUUGUGUGGUACGGAAUCUAGGACUUUUACUUUGAGGAAAUUAGAGUGUUCACUGCAGGCAUACGCCUUGAAUACGUUAGCAUGGAAUAAUAAGAUAGGACCUUGGUCUAUUUUGUUGGUUUAUUUUCCAAGGUAAUGAUUAAUAGGGAUAGUUGGGGGUAUUCGUAUUCAAUUGUCAGAGGUGAAAUUCUUGGAUUUAUGGAAGACGAACUACUGCGAAAGCAUUUACCAAGGAUGUUUUCAUUAAUCAAGAACGAAAGUUAGGGGAUCGAAGACGAUCAGAUACCAU
This 421-nucleotide ribosomal RNA is filed under the name uncultured eukaryote. RNAcentral describes it as "bacterial SSU rRNA". It matches the Rfam family "Eukaryotic small subunit ribosomal RNA", at positions 592 to 1018 of the family's 1831-position model. The record is from RNAcentral.